This 497-nucleotide ribosomal RNA is filed under the name uncultured bacterium. Its description in RNAcentral is "partial 16S ribosomal RNA". It matches the Rfam family "Bacterial small subunit ribosomal RNA", at positions 28 to 507 of the family's 1533-position model. The record is from RNAcentral.
GAUGAACGCUGGCGGCGUGCCUAAUACAUGCAAGUCGAGCGAACGGACGAGAAGCUUGCUUCUCUGAUGUUAGCGGCGGACGGGCGAGUAACACGUGGAUAACCUACCUAUAAGACUGGGAUAACUUCGGGAAACCGGAGCUAAUACCGGAUGAUAUUUUGAACCGCAUGGUUCAAAAGUGAAAGACGGUCUUGCUGUCACUUAUAGAUGGAUCCGCGCUGCAUUAGCUAGUUGGUAAGGUAACGGCUUACCAAGGCAACGAUGCAUAGCCGACCUGAGAGGGUGAUCGGCCACACUGGAACUGAGACACGGUCCGGACUCCUACGGGAGGCAGCAGUAGGGAAUCUUCCGCAAUGGGCGAAAGCCUGACGGAGCAACGCCGCGUGAGUGAUGAAGGUCUUCGGAUCGUAAAACUCUGUUAUUAGGGAAGAACAUAUGUGUAAGUAACUGUGCACAUCUUGACGGUACCUAAUCAGAAAGCCACGGCUAACUACGUG